Molecule: small nucleolar RNA, 114 nt
Organism: Trichoplusia ni (cabbage looper)
Lineage: Eukaryota; Metazoa; Arthropoda; Insecta; Lepidoptera; Noctuidae
Product: small nucleolar RNA SNORD90
Exons: 1
Source: RefSeq, a predicted model, not a curated record
AUAACAUGUAUAAAAGCGUUAUCAUGAUACGUUUUCACUUCACAGUUAGUUAAGUGAGAAAUUAGUUUCAUUGAACUUUAUGUGAAAGUGAAAACUGUAAACACUUGUAAACGU